Tilletiaria anomala is the source of this 106-nucleotide transfer RNA. It matches the Rfam family "tRNA". Rfam says of the family: Transfer RNA (tRNA) molecules are approximately 80 nucleotides in length. Their secondary structure includes four short double-helical elements and three loops (D, anti-codon, and T loops). NCBI's taxonomy places the organism in Eukaryota, Fungi, Basidiomycota, Exobasidiomycetes, Georgefischeriales, Tilletiariaceae. The record is from Rfam.
GGGCGGAUAGUGUAGUGGCUAUCACGUUUGCUUUGCAUCAUAGUUAUCUCCUCUAAAAGAGAGACUCGCCAGCAAAAGGUCCCGGGUUCAAUCCCCGGUCCGUCCA